Molecule: ribosomal RNA, 423 nt
Filed under: Harpactira sp. LP292
Lineage: Eukaryota; Metazoa; Arthropoda; Arachnida; Araneae; Theraphosidae
Description: partial 16S ribosomal RNA
Rfam family: Bacterial large subunit ribosomal RNA
Source: RNAcentral
UUCUAAUUGCUUCACAAUUAGUAAAACCUGCUCACUGAAUUAAUUAAAUAGCCGCUUUCUGUGCUAAGGUAGCAUAAUAAUUUGCCUGAUAAUUUCAGGAUAGAAUGAACGGUUUAACAUGAGAUUUUCUUUAUUAGUUUUACUAUUUGAAAUUUACAUAAAAGUAAAAAGGCUUUUAUUUCUAGGGGGACGACAAGACCCUGACGAACUUUACUUAAGUUUGGCUGGGGCGGCAAAAAACUAAAGCUUUAACUUUCUUCCUUUAAAUCCUUAAUUUUGAAUUUCAGUUACCGCAGGGUUAACAGCAUAAUCUGUUUUCAGAGAUCUUAUCAAAAAACAGGUUUGUGACCUCGAUGUUGAAUAAAAUUCUAUUAGGGGUAGGACCUUAAAAUAGAAAGUCUGUUCGACUUUUAAUUAUUUACA